Long non-coding RNA from Diorhabda sublineata, 1979 nucleotides. RefSeq lists it as uncharacterized. The record is from RefSeq and is a predicted model, not a curated record. The transcript is spliced from 3 exons. NCBI's taxonomy places the organism in Eukaryota, Metazoa, Arthropoda, Insecta, Coleoptera, Chrysomelidae.
AGAGUUUGCGCUUUGGUUGUUGACAAAGCAAAGGCAGAAGAGCAUAUGAAACAUAAAUUGAAAUCGCGCCUCUAUAAACUACUCAACGUGUUACAACUUAUACACUUUCGGGGGCGAAAAUGUUUUUCAUGUCAGGACAGUCUAACAAAACUCAGCUCAGUUACCUUUACAAAUCUGAGUAGGCAGGACGUCUGAUCAUUGUUUUAUCAUCGCCACAGCACAUGUAACAUUAGUGACACGUCAUUUACCCGCCAAAUUUGAUUAUCACUAUUAUUUUAUCGAAAAUAUAUGUGAUAAAGAAAAGAGUGGUUACAAUUUGAAUAUUUCAAUAUAAAAAAAACUGUUGUUUUUUCAUAAUGAACUAAAUAGGACACUAGCUGCUACAGGUAUAUCCCAAUCUACUUAUCAAAAAAUUAGUAAACAAGCUCAAAAAGUUGAAUGGGGUGGGCCAAGGUCGUCUUUUAAAUUGCCGAAGAAGAAUCGUCUUAUUUCUCUUGAUAAAAUUAAGACAAUUCGAGAAAUUAUCUAUAACUUCUAUUUGCUAGAGAAGAAAAUUCCUACUUUAAAAUAUAAGAAAUUCUUAUUAAUUAAUAAUAAGAUGUAAACUCAAACGGAUUUAUAGAGAACAGGCUGCUAAUAUUUAACUCAGGUAAAAAGACCAGGGACUAUCACCAUCAAAACUUUAUGCAAUUGGUUGAAAACCAAUUGUUGCCAAAUUUGCCUGAAAGGUGCUUUCUUGUAGUCGACAAUGCAGCAUAUGACAAAAAAUAUUACAAGGGCUUCAAUGAAACAUGACAUGUUAUAGAUAGACAUUAUAAAUUGGUUCGUUAUUACCCUGAUUAGUAUGUAACUAACGAUACUCUAUAUUGUUAUGUUAGUUGCAUAUAUGAUCUUGUGUGUUUCAUUUAAAUAUGCUCUGUUAUACUGGUUACAUACCUAUGGUCAUUAUGCAUACUUGUUAAUAAUAAUUUAUCAUUACAUAAUGAUUAGUAUGCAACCAGUAAAACACUUUAUACUUUAUGGAUAAGUUGACUAUCAUAGUCAAAAUCAUUUAAUUAUUAUCAAAUCAUUAUAAAUUUUAAUCGAGUGAAAAAAUACUUUUUUGUUGAAAAAUCGAUUUAAAUAUUCAUUUUUGCUAUCUUUUGAUUGUACAGGUUUUCCCUGUAAAAGUUACUGAUUGUUAACCAUUGGGCAUGAGUCGCCUCCGGUUUUCAGAUAGUAGUGUAAAAUUAUUUAUUCCGUCAAACACACUAAAUCGAUAUACGUAAUCAUCCAUCAAAAAUUCAUAAUGUUUGAAUGUAUAAAUUAGAAAUUAUACCCAAAACUUUGGAUAAUUGUAUCGUUUAACCCCCACAGCUCCGAGGACCUUGAAAAUUUAGUAUGUUGUACAGUUUUUUAUGGUGAAUACAAAAUUCUAAACCAGUGUUCAAAUUUGGACUAAUUUUUACACACUAGUCGUUGUGAUGCUAUUUCUGCCAGACUCUCCAGUACUAUGUGCAAGCCAGUCUUUGUACCUUUGAGAGAUUGUUCCCCGUGGUAUUCACACUAGUUCUAGUACCCCAAACCCCCUAUGUGAUGAUUGGUCUCAUAAUUGCCAUGUACAUCCACAGUAGAAUCGUUGGGUUACAACUCCAAUUCCUCCCUGUAAAGUUUCUGUACACCAUCAGGGCUUUUUUUAUUUAUAACACUUGGUAACAAUUUUCACCAUAUUACUAGUGGACUACUACAAAAAGGGUCAAGUUUCUGGUACUUAUGGGUAGUUAAGCGAACUUUGAAAUGGAACAAUAAGCAAACCCUUUUUAGUUAAUAUUUGUACGAAAUAUAGAGGAUGGUACGUUUUCUUGUUAUUUUUUCGGAGAUAUUUCCUAUGUGAAAAUUACAAAGUAGAUAAUGCAUUUAUAUAUUGAUUGUGAGAACGAUUUGAAUCUCAAUUAUUGAUAAUUAAAUAUGUUAUUUAUGAAUAAACUUUUUUCAAAAUA